CCAUUUUUAUAUAUUCUUUUCCUUUUUUUGUUGUUAUUCAAGAAUAAGAUUAAUUGUAUACAGCUCUCUCCGAAAACUUAUCGAAUUACAAAUAUAUCUCUAAAAAGUUUAAUUUUUUAUAUUUAUCACUAUAAAAGUUCGAAUAUUUUUAAAUAUACUCACUGCUAUUAGGAUCUGUUAGAAAAAUAUAAUUAACGAUAGAUAAAUUAUUUAACUUUGAUUUGAUUAGUGAAUAUAUAAGAUAAAUUGGCCUUUUUCAUCUCUUUUAUAUUAUAUAUGAUGGUUAAAAGAAAAAGAAAAUGACACAGUUGAAAUUUUUGGAGGAACAUAUUUGUGAUAACAAAAAUAUUAUUUUAUUUAUCUUUACACUAAUGGUAAUAGGAAUAAAUAUAAAAAAUUGAAGUUUGUAGGUAUAUA
RNAcentral lists this long non-coding RNA (417 nucleotides) under Ananas comosus (pineapple). RNAcentral describes it as "long non-coding RNA (ACOM_LNC033678)". The record is from RNAcentral. Lineage: Eukaryota; Viridiplantae; Streptophyta; Magnoliopsida; Poales; Bromeliaceae.